Molecule: long non-coding RNA, 221 nt
Filed under: Nicotiana benthamiana
Lineage: Eukaryota; Viridiplantae; Streptophyta; Magnoliopsida; Solanales; Solanaceae
Description: long non-coding RNA (NBEN_LNC039910)
Source: RNAcentral
CUUGAAUAGCGUCGGCUUUGGAGCGCCAUUCCGGAGUGAGACUUUGAAGAAUUUUACAGACAAGUUCCCUAUCCGUGAAAGUCUUCUUAAGAGCAUGAAGAUCAUUAACGAUUUUUGAAAAUUGUUCGAACAUAUCAUCUAUCUUCUCGUUUUCCUUCAUAUGAAAAAGUUCAUAUUCAUGGGUUAGAAAAUCUAUUUUAGCUUCUCUUACCUGGUCCGUA